RNAcentral lists this long non-coding RNA (313 nucleotides) under Setaria italica (foxtail millet). RNAcentral describes it as "long non-coding RNA (SITA_LNC006836)". Lineage: Eukaryota; Viridiplantae; Streptophyta; Magnoliopsida; Poales; Poaceae. The record is from RNAcentral.
CGACCUAUUGCUGCACUGUGACCGCACUUGCACCCACAUGAUGCACCAUGGGAACGACGUUCCAAGGACAGCCGGAGGGUAUGCCACGUCCCAGUUCAAUCAGGUACUAGGCUUUCCCAUCCCAUACUAGGUAUGAGAUUAGUAGUUUCAAACACUUGAUCACGAACGCCGACACGUUUCGACCUUUGUCACGCCCGGUUUUAAAGGUAAAACCGAAUGCUACCUAUAUGUAUGCCAGGAUCAAGUUUCAUACAUAUAGUGACAUCAUAAGUGAAUAACAGCAACAGUUUCACGUAAAAAGAUACAAAUAAAG